Trachemys scripta elegans is the source of this 815-nucleotide long non-coding RNA. RefSeq lists it as uncharacterized. The record is from RefSeq and is a predicted model, not a curated record. The transcript has 3 exons. NCBI's taxonomy places the organism in Eukaryota, Metazoa, Chordata, Testudines, Emydidae.
AUUUCCAUCGCAGCUUGAGCCUGCUUUAAGCAAACUACACACUGGAGCUAAUUAGCCAGACCUUCUGUUUCAGUAAUCACCAGUACAGAGGGAAGGGAAACAACCACCCACAACCUGAGAGGCCAUGGCACCUCUUUGCUGAAAUUCCAGCAUCUUUCUCUCCUGAUUCAUAAAGGAUCAACAACAGCCUGGCAUAGUCAUUCCUAACAACUCCCUGGAUGGCAAGAGGAGGGAAAAUAAACCCAAAGCCAGAGCUUUAGAUCAUAUUCAGCUCUGUCUCAAAAAGACAUUGCUGCAAGGAUUAGAUGUUCCUGGUUUCUUUCUCCUGCCAACAGUUCAGUUUGUGUCUGCAACACUCUGCUGUGCUACCUGGCGGAAGGUACCUGGAUAUGGUGUUAGCUGAUAACACAGAGCAGUGACAAAUAAUGCCAUUAGACCAGAUUGUGUUUCACCUGCUGGAGAGGAAUGGUGCUUAGAAGUCUGUAAAAGUUGACUGAGAGAUUACGUGCUUUUAAUUAUUAAGGAGUUAUAUAAAACUCCUCCCCAAAUCCAUUUAAUGUUCCUGUAAUCUAUCUUCUCAAACAUGGCAAGUUCACCAAUCCACCUCUGGUCUCUGCUGAAGUUGUGGGGACUUUCAUGCAGAGGCAGACUGUAGUACCUUCAGACCCCUUUGUCAGAAGUAAUGGAGAUGGACGAAAGAGAGUCUGCCAGUAUUCCUUGAACCACCCGGCAAACAUAGGGCAGGAGAAACAAUGUCUCCUCCUCAUGGCUCAGCCAGUGACAAGAAGAGAGGGGAUAUGCUAUUCACCUUCAAC